This is a long non-coding RNA of Gymnodraco acuticeps, 2607 nucleotides long. RefSeq lists it as uncharacterized. The transcript has 2 exons. The record is from RefSeq and is a predicted model, not a curated record. NCBI's taxonomy places the organism in Eukaryota, Metazoa, Chordata, Actinopteri, Perciformes, Bathydraconidae.
GCAGUCUGCGACGCCGCAGCUUCAUGCUGUUGCUCAUGGCUGACAGGGGAGCUCUUCCUCAUCUCUGCCACAGCUGGGGAUCGAACCGCUGACCUUCCGCUUCGCGGAGCAGGGCCCACUUUCCCCUCGCUCCUAACCCUAACCAGGUUGGUUCCAUCGUUCGCCAAUGGGAGGCCGGAUAAUGGUCCAAGUCAGAGAAUCAAACUUUCGGGGCUCUUUUGGCGUCCAAUCGGUGAGGCGGAUUUCUUUCCAAAUUCUCAGCAAUCUCUCCUCCCUCCGCCAUUGUUUCCCACGGGUAUUCAUACUGACUGACUUCAACCAAGCGACACUGAACUCAAGUGACCCCCCAGGACUUAAAGUGACCCCCCAGGACCGGCAGACCCACUUCAGGUUCUGCUGAGGAACCGCUAGGGCAUGUGGGUAAAGCAUGCAAAGAGCUGAUACGUCACACGGGCCAGGAUUGGUCGACUGGAGACGAGAGGACAAAAGAUCUGGCCGCUCCUCCCCCUCUGGCAUUCCUCCCAGACGCCCUUUGACCCCCCCUCAGGUCCCAGAGAGGGAAGAGGGGGGAGACAAAGAGAGGGACACCGGGUAGGGGGGGGGGGAAACCCAACUCCAAAAACCCUCCCCUUACCACGUCAUACGCCUUUGUGUGUUUGCGUAAAGGUUUCCCUUCCCUUUGUGACUUGAAGUGCCGCUCUGCACCACAUACUGGGGACAGGAAGUUAUAAUAACCCUCCCCGACUAAAAGCUGUACUAAUGGACCAUGUGCAACACUGUCUGUGUCCCCCUCUGAAACACGCUGUGCACAAAGUGGUUCCUUGCAACAUUGACAAGUAGUAAACUGAGUAAGACAACGCAGACAUGUUCUGUGUGUUUACAGAAACCGCAGAUUUCAAGAGGUUUACUGAAAAGGAAACGCCUCAAAACACAGUUCCUGUUUCUUCCGGAGAGGAGGGGGCUUUGUUUGUCCCUCAGCGUAAAGAAGGAGCUUCAUUCAGCUGAGAGACUGCAGGCGGAGGUCAUGGAGGAGGAGGAGGGUCAGGCACACUUGCUGCACUCGUCUUCUGGUCCUCAUCAGAUCCUCAGAGUCUCAGCUCCAGGAGAGACAGUGCAGUCAGACAGACGUGUGUGAAGGAAUCAGCCUGCAGACAGAAGAGGAAACGACACAUGCUGCAGGACAGGCUUUACAAGACAAAGAAAAUACCUCAUUGUUUACUGUCCACAUGCAAAGGGAGUAGUGGUCUGCAUGGGAACAAUGUGCUGUAAAAGGGUUCAAUCAAACACAUCAUAUCCAAAUCAUAUUUACACACCAUAGAAGCUGUGAUAAAGGAGCAAGGACACACCAAAGGGAGAGCUAUCGACAAACUCAUUUACAGUCAAACUAUCCGCAGAAAAAGCCAGAACAUUUCAGAGUCAAGUUGUUUUGAACAAUCCUUAACUUUAGCUGGAUGGACCCUCAGUCAGAGCAACAUGUGUUUGAUCUGUUCUUAAUCCACACAUUCAUUCUGUGUCUGCAUUACUCCUCUGUGGAGUAAUAUCAUUAGAAAGUAGGAGAGUUAGUGCAACGUAGCCUUUGCUAACGUUAGCAUGUAUUCCAAUACAUCAGGAAAACACAUCAAAACAAUUGGCGUUAGGAACAUAACAAAUAGAAGAUAAAACACAACUCAGGAAUUAAGGUGUUGUAAAACUGUUUUUUUAAACUGUUGGUAUCAUUUCAUGUCAUUAAGAAAACCACUUAAUACUGGGGAUGUUUUAAGAAAGCGACAUUUGUGUUUUUGUUUUCCAUUGAAGGCUGAAUGUUAUCUGUCACACGCUGAGGCUGCUCUGCUCAUUAUAAGUGAACCAACACUGGGAAGCAUCCCAACAUGUUUGAACGCAGUGUACGGCCUCAAAGGUUAACUUAUAAGUUAGCAAAAUCAAUCAAAAGUAAGUCAAUUAUUCUUGAUAGUUGAAUAUACUUUAAGAAACAAACAGCCUUCAUCUCAGCUCUCCAGAGGCUUUACUUUAUUUAGUGUUUUCAGCUCAUUCCUUCAAACAGAAGCCUCAGAUCAUAACAAGGGGAAAGUUAAGUUAUUGGGCUUUGUUUUGAUAAAAUAAGAUUUGUUAGAACAUGUUUUAAUUGACUGAAGUUAUUUGAAAAGUGGUCUUAUCAACACGUGAAUACUACUGUGUAAUAUCUGUUUACAUAUAUAUCUAAGAAGUACAAUAUAAGACAAGCACAGGUUUCAUGUGUGGGCCCUAUCACUGAUUAUACUUUUAGAAUCUGCUCCCCUCUGAUUUAGAUAUACCGAUGUAUUUCGUUUCUAUUGUAAAUACAUGCUGCUAAUAAUCAUUUGUAUUUGUAUUAUAUUUGUAUCUUUUAAAACAUUUCUAACUCGCUUAAUGCUUGCUGAAUCAACCUAUGGUAUCAACACAAGCAGAGCAGUGCCGUUCCACAGUCUGACCAGCAGGGGGCAGGCUGAGCCCACUAGAGGGAAUAAUGGAAAACACCGUAGAAACACUUUAGAAACGUCACAACUCAGCAAUACUUAUAUAUCCUCGAUAUGCGUUAUUGUAAUGUUGAUCAGUAAUAAAACGUGCAGCUAAAGCCGAAUUCAAUUAAAA